Molecule: long non-coding RNA, 319 nt
Organism: Aedes aegypti (yellow fever mosquito)
Lineage: Eukaryota; Metazoa; Arthropoda; Insecta; Diptera; Culicidae
Exons: 3
Source: RefSeq, a predicted model, not a curated record
AUUGUACAAUACAAGUUAAAAGGCGUGGACUUGAUUCUUAGUUAAAGCAGAUUAAACACUAGUGAAAAUAACUUAAAAUUGAACUAAAAACUAGUGAAACAAAGGAGAAACUUAGUAUCUAAUAUAUACAUGCAGAAUUGGUAACCUACAUUACUACGAGCUACAUCUAAACGAACAUUAACAGUGCAGUGCCCAUAACGAUUGUGCUGAGGUCACUAUAUACCCUCGAAAGUUGCCUACAUCAAAGCGCAAAUUACGGAAUUCGGACUCAUAAGACUGAAAGGUUAGGAAAAUAGACAUUUGACCGACAUCAGACUGA